CGAAAUGGUCGGUAAUGGUGCAUUUUGUAAAUCACGUUUGGGUUUGACGAAUUCAGAUAAAAGGAAAACGGAUUGCGAAUAUUCCAUAAAUAAAUUAAUAAAUUAAAUUCCAUUCUACACGAACGACACAUUUUGGUUGUAUAAAUGUAUAACGAAGAGAAGUAAAAC
This is a long non-coding RNA of Bradysia coprophila, 168 nucleotides long. NCBI's taxonomy places the organism in Eukaryota, Metazoa, Arthropoda, Insecta, Diptera, Sciaridae. The record is from RefSeq and is a predicted model, not a curated record.